RNAcentral lists this long non-coding RNA (318 nucleotides) under Manihot esculenta (cassava). Its description in RNAcentral is "long non-coding RNA (MESC_LNC002016)". Lineage: Eukaryota; Viridiplantae; Streptophyta; Magnoliopsida; Malpighiales; Euphorbiaceae. The record is from RNAcentral.
UGCAAGAAAGGGCUGGACAGGGCACUUUCGGCGGCAGGUUCGGCGGCCGAAAGUCCCUCCAGAGCCGAAAGUCAGGCAGGUUCGGCGGCACCUUCGGCGGCCGAAACUCCCAGACAGAGGCGAAACUCAUGCAUGUUCGGCGGCACUUUCGGCGGCCGAAAGUCCCAGACAGAGACGAAAGUCUCCUUUCGGGGGCAAGCUUCGGCAGCCGAAGGCUGCCUCCACAAGCACGUUCGGCGGCCGAAAGUUCCUUCGGCUGCCGAACCUGGUUUCUCCCAGAAUGGCAGAAACUCAGCUCCCUUAUGCAUUUGUGCCUCC